GGUGCCCUGCGGUGCUCGUGAUAAAUGGUAGGCUUAGAGCCAACACCUCUUCUUUGGGGAUUUUAACUUGUUGUUGUGUGCAAGCUUGCCUUGAUGCAAGAAGCCUAAUGCAACAAAAAGAUACCCACCUUAACAAGAGGUUCAAGACAUACCGCUUACACGACACCCGCGGGGUUUUU
This 179-nucleotide non-coding RNA is filed under the name Pseudomonadota bacterium. Its description in RNAcentral is "6S RNA". It matches the Rfam family "6S / SsrS RNA". From Rfam's summary of the family: E. coli 6S RNA was the first non coding RNA to be sequenced, but its function was unknown until recently. RNAcentral also lists the same sequence under 1 other name. The record is from RNAcentral. Lineage: Bacteria; Pseudomonadati; Pseudomonadota.